This 146-nucleotide transfer-messenger RNA is filed under the name Cellulosilyticum sp. RNAcentral describes it as "partial transfer-messenger RNA". It matches the Rfam family "transfer-messenger RNA", at positions 224 to 374 of the family's 374-position model. From Rfam's summary of the family: Bacterial tmRNA, also known as 10Sa RNA or SsrA, is named for its dual tRNA and mRNA-like properties. Its role is to liberate the mRNA from a stalled ribosome. The record is from RNAcentral. Lineage: Bacteria; Bacillati; Bacillota; Clostridia; Lachnospirales; Cellulosilyticaceae.
GAGCUAGAGGGGUAUUUAUGAAGCUAGGGAAUUAGGAGUUUGUUUGUGAGCGAACUAAGGACCGAAAUUUUAGUCACAAACUACGCUCGUAGAAAGUCAGGCUGGUCUGCUUUCGGACACGGGUUCGACACCCGUCGCCUCCACCA